Molecule: ribosomal RNA, 210 nt
Filed under: Gnamptogenys haenschi
Lineage: Eukaryota; Metazoa; Arthropoda; Insecta; Hymenoptera; Formicidae
Description: partial large subunit ribosomal RNA
Source: RNAcentral
GAAUUUUAUAUAAGUUUAAUUAAUAAGGAGAUGAUUUAAAGUUAUUUAAAUUAUAUUUAAUUGGGAGGAUUAUUAAAUUUUUAAAACUUUAAUUUAAUAAAAUUACAUCAAUGAAUGAAUUAUUGAUUUUAUAUAUAAGAAUAAAAAUUAAUUACCUUAGGGAUAACAGCGUAAAAUUUUUGGAAAGAUCAUAUUGAUAAAAAUGUAUGC